CGCUGGCGGCGGUGCCUAAUACAUGCAAGUCGAGCGGACAGAAGGGAGCUUGCUCCCGGAUGUAGCGGCGGACGGGUGAGUAACACGUGGGUAACCUGCCUGUAAGACUGGGAUAACUCCGGGAAACCGGAGCUAAUACCGGAUAGUUCCUGAACCGCAUGGUUCAAGGAUGAAAGACGGUUUCGGCUGUCACUUACAGAUGGACCCGCGGCGCAUUAGCUAGUUGGUGGGGUAAUGGCUCACCAAGGCGACGAUGCGUAGCCGACCUGAGAGGGUGAUCGGCCACACUGGGACUGAGACACGGCCCAGACUCCUACGGGAGGCAGCAGUAGGGAAUCUUCCGCAAUGGACGAAAGUCUGACGGAGCAACGCCGCGUGAGUGAUGAAGGUUUUCGGAUCGUAAAGCUCUGUUGUUAGGGAAGAACAAGUGCGAGAGUAACUGCUCGCACCUUGACGGUACCUAACCAGAAAGCCACGGCUAACUACGUGCCAGCAGCCGCGGUAAUACGUAGGUGGCAAGCGUUGUCCGGAAUUAUUGGGCGUAAAGGGCUCGCAGGCGGUUUCUUAAGUCUGAUGUGAAAGCCCCCGGCUCAACCGGGGAGGGUCAUUGGAAACUGGGAAACUUGAGUGCAGAAGAGGAGAGUGGAAUUCCACGUGUAGCGGUGAAAUGCGUAGAGAUGUGGAGGAACACCAGUGGCGAAGGCGACUCUCUGGUCUGUAACUGACGCUGAGGAGCGAAAGCGUGGGGAGCGAACAGGAUUAGAUACCCUGGUAGUCCACGCCGUAAACGAUGAGUGCUAAGUGUUAGGGGGUUUCCGCCCCCUUAGUGCUGCAGCUAACGCAUUAAGCACU
RNAcentral lists this ribosomal RNA (852 nucleotides) under Bacillus sp. (in: firmicutes). Its description in RNAcentral is "bacterial SSU rRNA". It matches the Rfam family "Bacterial small subunit ribosomal RNA", at positions 34 to 868 of the family's 1533-position model. The record is from RNAcentral. Lineage: Bacteria; Bacillati; Bacillota; Bacilli; Caryophanales; Bacillaceae.